This is a small nuclear RNA of Tripterygium wilfordii, 116 nucleotides long. RefSeq annotates it as U5 spliceosomal RNA. NCBI's taxonomy places the organism in Eukaryota, Viridiplantae, Streptophyta, Magnoliopsida, Celastrales, Celastraceae. The transcript has a single exon. The record is from RefSeq and is a predicted model, not a curated record.
AGCCACGCGGUUCACACAAAGCGACCUAUUCUUUCGCCUUUUACUAAAGAAUAUUGUGUGUGCGCUGCAGAUAGUGGCAUACACCAAUUUUUGGAGGGCCUAAAUGUUUUUGGGCU